GAACUGUUAUGGAGUUUUGUUGGCUACAAACUACUACAUAUAAAACAGCUGUGCCCUACACUCAUUUUGUCAUUUACAGAUGCUAAGUGGUUACUAUUAUGGCGUCAAGACUGAAGAUAGAACUGCACAUCAGGAUAAACCAACAUGAAGACCAGAGAGCUGUCUAUAGGAGGAAAAACAAACCAUUUUGAAGCUGAGAAACGAGGAAAAAAUCAGAGCCAUUGCACACACAUUGGGCAACAAUUUAGAAUGUCAUGAAAAAUAUAUAAACCACUAGAUUACUGACAACCAGAUCUCAAACAGGUCGGCCAAGGAAAAGAACAGCAGUUGACAGAAACAUUGUGAGAGCAUUGAAGAAAAGCAUAA
Molecule: long non-coding RNA, 366 nt
Organism: Ictalurus punctatus (channel catfish)
Lineage: Eukaryota; Metazoa; Chordata; Actinopteri; Siluriformes; Ictaluridae
Source: Ensembl